Molecule: transfer RNA, 66 nt
Filed under: Luciola parvula
Lineage: Eukaryota; Metazoa; Arthropoda; Insecta; Coleoptera; Lampyridae
Description: tRNA-Trp
Source: RNAcentral
AGGAUUUAAGUUAAAAUAAACUAACAACCUUCAAAGUUGCAAACAAAGUAAAGUCUUUAAGCCUUA